This 294-nucleotide ribosomal RNA is filed under the name uncultured bacterium. Its description in RNAcentral is "partial 16S ribosomal RNA". It matches the Rfam family "Bacterial small subunit ribosomal RNA", at positions 775 to 1067 of the family's 1533-position model. The record is from RNAcentral.
GGAUUAGAUACCCUGGUAGUCCACGCUGUAAACGAUGGAUACUAAACGUGGUGGGUCUUGACCCCUGCCGUGUUGAAGCUAACGCGAUAAGUAUCCCGCCUGGGAAGUACGGUCGCAAGACUAAAACUCAAAGGAAUUGACGGGGACCCGCACAAGCGGUGGAUCAUGUGGUUUAAUUCGAAGCAACGCGAAGAACCUUACCUGGAUUUGACAUCCUCUGAAUAUUGUAGAGAUAUAAUAGGCCCGCAAGGGACAGAGAGACAGGUGCUGCAUGGCUGUCGUCAGCUCGUGCCG